RNAcentral lists this transfer RNA (30 nucleotides) under Doryfera ludovicae (green-fronted lancebill). RNAcentral describes it as "Doryfera ludoviciae (green-fronted lancebill) partial tRNA-Leu". Lineage: Eukaryota; Metazoa; Chordata; Aves; Apodiformes; Trochilidae. The record is from RNAcentral.
CUUUUAAAGGAUAAUAGCUAAUCCACUGGU